ACGGGUGAGUAACACGUGAGUAACCUGCCCCAGACUCUGGGAUAAGCACUGGAAACGGUGUCUAAUACCGGAUACGAGCUUCAGCCGCAUGGCUAGGAGCUGGAAAGAAUUUCGGUCUGGGAUGGACUCGCGGCCUAUCAGCUAGUUGGUGAGGUAAUGGCUCACCAAGGCGACGACGGGUAGCCGGCCUGAGAGGGUGACCGGCCACACUGGGACUGAGACACGGCCCAGACUCCUACGGGAGGCAGCAGUGGGGAAUAUUGCACAAUGGGCGCAAGCCUGAUGCAGCAACGCCGCGUGAGGGACGACGGCCUUCGGGUUGUAAACCUCUUUUAGUAGGGAAGAAGCGAAAGUGACGGUACCUGCAGAAAAAGCACCGGCUAACUACGUGCCAGCAGCCGCGGUAAUACGUAGGGUGCAAGCGUUAUCCGGAAUUAUUGGGCGUAAAGAGCUCGUAGGCGGUUUGUCGCGUCUGCUGUGAAAACUGGAGGCUCAACCUCCAGCCUGCAGUGGGUACGGGCAGACUAGAGUGCGGUAGGGGAGAUUGGAAUUCCUGGUGUAGCGGUGGAAUGCGCAGA
This 578-nucleotide ribosomal RNA is filed under the name Salinibacterium sp. BvIRR179. Its description in RNAcentral is "bacterial SSU rRNA". It matches the Rfam family "Bacterial small subunit ribosomal RNA", at positions 102 to 694 of the family's 1533-position model. Lineage: Bacteria; Bacillati; Actinomycetota; Actinomycetes; Micrococcales; Microbacteriaceae. The record is from RNAcentral.